GUACGCGGCGUCGUCAGCCCACUCGCCGCACAUCCUCGGCGAGGUCGCCGGCGAUGGCGCCGCCACCGCCAGGGCGGCAGCGGCUGCCCUGCGACGGCGAGGAGGACGCCCCCCCCCCUCUCCACCGCCGCCGGUGAGGGCCUCCUCCGUCCAGCGAUCGCUUCCGGCGGGACGUACGGGGCCCGCCGCGAGCCUGAUAUACUGGCUGCUGAUGUAGCAGAAGAACGUUGAUUCAUGAGAAAGUAAUAUGGCAGAAAAGGUUUGAUUUCAGAGAAUCGUAAUUUUGGGACAAUUGGAGCUGCAUUUCUCAGCGCCUCCUGGCUGCAGUCUCUCUCUGGGCAUUGAAGUAGACAGCAGCCACAGGAAGGCCAAGAUCAUUCUCCUCGGCGAACCGGCGGGUGUUGAAAUGGUCCCUGAAGGAUGGCACAAUUACAGUUUGCCUGCGCUUCUGCUUGAAGAGCACAAAAAUGAACCUAUGGAUGCCAAUGUUCGGCUUUGGACUCUCAUAGCUUAUGACCUCGCGUCCUUCAAUCGGAAAGUGGUACAGUUGUUUAUUCACAAGGAGAAACUCAAUGAAUAAGAUGGAAAAAAAAACUGACACAAAUUAGAGGAAGGACCUACCAAAAGAAGCAUCCGUUGUCCCAGGUAUAUCAGUAACAAUCCUGCGUAAAUGUUAAGAAAAAAAUGCUUCACCACCUGCGUGGAAGUGUCUGCGCCCUCAAAUGUUCAUCUUUGCACACCUUGUUUAUUUAGGUAAGCCCCAUUCAGCGUCCUCUUUUUCUGAUAAGGAAAAGAGAAUUUGAUGAGUUUAAUUGCUGUUAGAUUCUUUCCCCAAACUGUGAUACUACUUGGAUUACCAUUAUUAUCUGUUUAUUCUCUUCUUUGGAGGACUAUGGCAAAACACCAUGGAAGAGAAUAAAGGAAGGGAACGCAGUGCUGCCACCACUUCAAUGUGUAGGGGUGCUGUCUAGUGCUCAGAUGUCAUUUCAAUGUUUAAAGAUCAUAUGUUCUCCUUAAUUGAGCCAUUAAAAAAACUUUCUAUAUUUCCAUAAGUAGUGGAGCCAAGUACAGCUUUAUGCAUUCCUCUGUUCUGGUGUAAUGCCAUCAUGCCUACUUGACACUUUGAGCAACUAGCCAAGUAGAGGUAGUGGAGCCAAGUACAGCUUGUGACAUUUUCCGGUUCCAUUCUAAUGCCAUGAUAAUUGCUUGA
This is a non-coding RNA of Oryza sativa Japonica Group (Japanese rice), 1210 nucleotides long. The record is from RefSeq and is a predicted model, not a curated record. Lineage: Eukaryota; Viridiplantae; Streptophyta; Magnoliopsida; Poales; Poaceae.